GAUGAACGCUAGCGGGAGGCUUAACACAUGCAAGUCGAGGGGUAACAUGAGGUAGUAAUACUUUGAUGACGACCGGCGCACGGGUGAGUAACGCGUAUGUAACCUACCCUGUACAGGGGGAUAGCCCGGAGAAAUUCGGAUUAAUACCCCAUAAAGAUAUUUUGAGGCAUCUCAGAAUAUUUAAAGUUUCGACGGUACGGGAUGGGCAUGCGUAACAUUAGCUAGUUGGUAGGGUAACGGCCUACCAAGGCGACGAUGUUUAGGGGUCCUGAGAGGGUGAUCCCCCACACUGGUACUGAGACACGGACCAGACUCCUACGGGAGGCUG
This 328-nucleotide ribosomal RNA is filed under the name uncultured Bacteroidota bacterium. Its description in RNAcentral is "bacterial SSU rRNA". It matches the Rfam family "Bacterial small subunit ribosomal RNA", at positions 28 to 351 of the family's 1533-position model. The record is from RNAcentral. Lineage: Bacteria; Pseudomonadati; Bacteroidota.